AAAAGUUGUAUGCUGUUAUAAUUGUCGAUAUUUUUUAUCCAGAUUUAACCACUAUGAGAAGAGGAUAGACACGAUUGAGGAAUAUGAUAAGAUAAAGAAGUGCAGAAAACCACAACCCGGCCAUAGCUCCGCAUGCAUCAUCGCGGUACAAGCAUUCUUGUUCUUGGUUUAUUUGAUGAAGCAUCUUUCUUUCCCUUAUGAUGUGUGGUGUAAGUCUUCAUGUGAAGAAGCAUGUAAAGGGUGUAUCACGAAUAGUCCUACUAAGUGUCGUAGGAACGCUUGAUUUGAAUAUCAGAUGUUUGAAUCUUGGAUCAAGGGAACAUCAUCAAGCAGACACGGUUAUGUUGCAAACUUGGUUGUUGCUAAAUCAUAUCGACGCAAGCGUAUUGCAAUUGGUUGUGCAUGCAGG
Non-coding RNA from Vigna umbellata (rice bean), 409 nucleotides. Lineage: Eukaryota; Viridiplantae; Streptophyta; Magnoliopsida; Fabales; Fabaceae. The record is from RefSeq and is a predicted model, not a curated record.